GGGAGUGUGGCUCAGUGGUAGAGUGCUUGCUUAGCAUGCAUGAGGCCUUAGGUUCAAUUCCUCAGUACCA
This 70-nucleotide transfer RNA is filed under the name Dipodomys ordii (Ord's kangaroo rat). It matches the Rfam family "tRNA". Rfam says of the family: Transfer RNA (tRNA) molecules are approximately 80 nucleotides in length. Their secondary structure includes four short double-helical elements and three loops (D, anti-codon, and T loops). Lineage: Eukaryota; Metazoa; Chordata; Mammalia; Rodentia; Heteromyidae. The record is from Rfam by way of RNAcentral.